Long non-coding RNA from Poecilia reticulata (guppy), 3755 nucleotides. RefSeq lists it as uncharacterized. The record is from RefSeq and is a predicted model, not a curated record. NCBI's taxonomy places the organism in Eukaryota, Metazoa, Chordata, Actinopteri, Cyprinodontiformes, Poeciliidae.
GCAUUUAUUGGCAAUUCUUGCUAUCCAUUUGCUGACCUGUUUUGAUUCCAUUGGUACUUUUAAUGAUUUACACACACGAUAUAUUUAUAUCUAACACCCAUCACAGAAGUAGCAUCAGGAAACAGGAUAUUUUAGAUUGUGUUUUUCUUGUCUGUUCAUUUGAUGUUCAGCCCUGACUGUUGGGUUCAUUAUGUGACAUACAUGGAAGAUUACAAAAUGAAACAAUUUUGCGUACAAUCUUAACAGUGUGUAUGUGUUUUUUGCUUUGUGCAGUGUGUUCGAUGGAGGGGGGGUGAGGGCUGUCAACCUUGAAGAAAAGCUUGCAUUGAUACACCAGGUAAGAUGACAGCUGACCAGAAUCCGGACCCGGCGACAUCCAUCCGAGAUGUGAGCUGAGCAUUUGACAGAAGAGCUACGACAUCUCUUUGACCUGCCAUCAAGGCUGAAGAAGGUGCCGAAGAUUUGGGAGACGUUCUGUGUUGUCCCUGCUCCAAAAAGGGAUAAUGCAGUCCCUUCAGGCCUGUGGCACUAUCGUCAAACGAAGACCGCUGGGAGACUGGCUCUACAGCACCUCAGGCCUGUGAUGAGGGACUGCCUGGAUCCUUUGCAGGCCGACUUCAUUGUGGACGAUGCUACUUCAGAGCUUAUGCCCACCCAGGUAGACCAAGACCUGGGGACCUGGUGAGCAACAAGGGCACACCCCAGGGACUGAAUUAUCACAGUUUCUCCUUGCACUCUUUUUACACUUUGGCUUCAGCUCUGAAGUUGUCAGAUGACUCCUGUGUUUUUGGCUGCACUACAGAUGAUGGGGAGGAGAAAGACAGAGACUUGAUUGAGAGCUUCACUGGAUGGUGUGAGAGUUAUCACUUCCAGCUUAAUACAGGAAACUCCAAAGAGCAGAAGGGCACCUGCAAGUACUUGAGGGAGCAACUUAGCAACAACUUGGACAAUGUUAAACGCCUCUACAGGAAAGGUCAGAGUAGGCUGUUCUUUCUGAGGCUCAGGUCUUUUAAUGUGUGCACUAGACUGCUGCAGAUAUUCUACUACUCUGUAAUGGCCAGUGUCUUUUUUAUUUUGCUGGGGAGGUGGCAUUGGCAUCAACAAGCUAAAUAAGCUAAAUAUUGGCUGUGGGACUAUAAUUCGACAGUGUGAAGGGAGUGACCAGGAAAAGGGUGAGGGGGAAGUUAAAGGCCUUCAUGGACAGUCCCUCUGAUCCAUGCUGAGCUGAGGCAGCAUAGGAGCUCCUUCAGCCCCGGGCCUCAGAGCAGAUCGGAGGCUCAUUUGUGCCAUCUGGCUGCUUGAGCCUUUUUCAUCUCUGGUCAGUGCUUUUUACUGCCUUCCCUGUUUACAAGAUGUAAGCAACUUUCAUGUUAGAAAAUCUUUGCAGUUCUAUAGUUCUUGAUCACAAAAUUAAAGCACACCUCAGAGUGCUAGUUUUUUUCUUACUUCCUCCUAAACAUACAAUGUUGCCAUUUUCAUCAGUUUUACACAACUGUUGUGCUGUAGAAGAGAAUUGGCAGAUCCACAUUUUUACUGUUUAUUUUAUGCAGUUACUCUGAACUCGACUGCAAAUUAUGGACAAUAAAUGUUAUGAAUGCAAGUAGAUUAGAUUGUGGCACAUAUUGUGGGUGUGCUGACGAACAUGUUCAGGCUGUACUUCUCUUCACGUCUUCCUGUGGUUUUGAAUAGACGCAAGAAUUCUAGAGAAAGCAGAACUCCAUUCAAAGAUGUUCCUGACUUGGUAAUGUGAAAAAUAAGUUGCUUGACAUAGCUGCCUCCUAAUAGUGAAAACAAAGUAAGCAGCACUUGCUGUCCCAAGGUUUAUCAGUCAGUUGAAUUAAGGGAGAUAAAGGGCUAGGUAAGCAAAAACGAAAUCUAACAUCACAGAACUUAUCUACACUAAAAGCAAUAUUUUUUUAUUUUCUUUGCCAAAAAGAUUCAAGCAGUUUUAUUUUAAUCAUUAUAUAAUCCAUUCCAAGCAUCAACAUACUCGCAAAAUAAUGCAGAAUGGAAAAAAAAAAUGCAGCGUAAGUCACCUGUUAUCUAAAUUAUUAUAACAAGCACCCAAUGUACAUUUUGAAACAUUAGUAGCUACGGGGCUUGAACUUUUGCAGUUGUGACUUUUCAAACAUUGAAAAUGAAACAUUUUAACCCAGUGGCACCUUGAUUGGUUGCAAGCAGAAGAUUCCUCAUAUGUUUCAUUUUGACACAGAAGUUGGAACAUUCAAAGUCUAAAUGCAGAAAAAGAACAGUCCACGUGGACAAAUUCAUGUUUCUUACUCAAUUACUUUUUCUGUAGCAAUAACUGAAAAAUACUUAAAUAGAAUCUGCAGGAUUGUAUGUAACCUAAGUCUAUCAGCACUUUGACUACUAAAUACAGAAAGUAUAAAAUUAUUUUUACUAAAAAAACCUUAUAUAAAUUUGAAUGCCAGCCAUAUCCACAUAGAAGGGAAUGCACACACUUAUGUAAGUAAAUUGUUUCAUCACUAUUAUUUUCCAAAAAUUUUGAUUCUUCAAUCAAAAUGUGAACUUGAAUCAGACUAAGUUAUUCUAAGAGGUAUAAUUAUUUUUAUAUAUGUAUUGUAUCCUUCUCCUGAGAUGAGGUUUGUGACCAAUUUAUGAUUUAGUCUUAACUUUUAAUCAAGUGACUAUGCCAGCAAAACCAAUAAUCAUAAAUCCAAAUAUAAAUAUAUGAAUAAUAAAUCUAAGACCUCUUACAACGAUGGCCUUUUACAUUUUGAUGCUUCCUACAAAUGCAGGCAUAGGACCUUCUGCCAGCACUAACAUAUUAAGUAUUACUUGGCUGAAUUAUGUCCAAGUAAUGUUUUUAGUGUGUUGCUCCUGAGGAUAGAUGAAUGUACACUAAAUGGUCAUUUUUGAGGUCUUUGUUACUUUAAUACUCUGAAAGACGUUAACUGUCCAAGCUGCAUCUGCCUUUAAAACAAAAGAAAAUUAAAUUUUAAUUAAACUGUUUGAAUUUAUAAAAAUGAUCCACUUUAUCCACGUGGUGCUACUGUCCACAUGAGACUGGGAUAAAAUAGGGAUGGUAGCUGCAUUUGAAUCAAAAGAAUAUAUUCAUAUUUUUUGUCGAUGCAAAAUUUUACUCUAACCUGAUCAGUUGCAGCACAAUCUACUAUAAAUCAACAAUUUAAGAAGCUAAAGGAUGUUGAACAGGUUUUGCUUCAUGAGUUUAUAAAAUGCAGUGCAGUUUUUAAAAAUCAUUGGCUGUUUGUGUAAUAGAAAAUAAGGAAGGUGGUAAAGGUGAAGCAUGUCAGAUCAGAGCAUAACUCUUAUCUCCCUGUAAUUUUGAUGAUUCAUUGGAAUUUUUGUCACCAGAUAACUAUCACAAACUGAUAGCUAGCCGCAGUCCUGUUUAAAUUGGAGCAGUUACUGAAUUACUGGCAGCAGACCUGCUCUGUAAAGUACUGUAGACAUUGUGUUUCAGAAAAUAAUCCUGCUUCACAGUAUGCAUUUUAAAUCACAACUACAAUCCUAAAACUUUAGUUUAUUCAAAAAUACAGUUCACAAUUGUGUGCGUGUGUGUGUGCGUGUGUGUUCAGAUGAGACUUUUUUGUCAGAUUUAAAGAAGCACCUUUUGAAAAUAUUUAUUAAGCUUUCUGUUAAGCCAACAUUUCUGUAUUGUAAUUUUUUUUAUUAUUGGUCUAGUAUAACAUUCUAAUCUCUCUCAAAUGUCGUGUUUUCAUGAACUGUAAGCAGAUGGUCAUUAAAAUUAAAAGGAAUAAUAUCAAAAAAUA